AAAAUCGUUCUCCGGUCGCCCCUCUAGGCGAGGAAGCCGCCAUCGGAGCCCUAGGCGAGGGAGGGAGGAGACCGCCGUCGUCGAUGGGGGGAGAGAGAGGGUGGAGUUUUGGAAGGUCUGGGGGUGCGGGGUCGGCUUCGGGAGCUCAGGUACAGGUGUUGCAGUUUUCCAUGGCGGAGAAGGGUGUGGGGGUGGAGGCGCCGCCGUCAGCGGUGGUGGGAGGUGG
RNAcentral lists this long non-coding RNA (226 nucleotides) under Salvia miltiorrhiza (redroot sage). Its description in RNAcentral is "long non-coding RNA (SMIL_LNC011722)". The record is from RNAcentral. Lineage: Eukaryota; Viridiplantae; Streptophyta; Magnoliopsida; Lamiales; Lamiaceae.